Molecule: ribosomal RNA, 472 nt
Filed under: uncultured bacterium
Lineage: Bacteria
Description: bacterial SSU rRNA
Rfam family: Bacterial small subunit ribosomal RNA
Source: RNAcentral
CGCUAUCACUCUACGGGGAGGCAGCAGUAGGGAAUCUUCACAAUGGGCGCAAGCCUGAUGGAGCAACACCGCGUGAGUGAAGAAGGGUUUCGGCUCGUAAAGCUCUGUUGUUAAAGAAGAACACGUAUGAGAGUAACUGUUCAUACGUUGACGGUAUUUAACCAGAAAGUCACGGCUAACUACGUGCCAGCAGCCGCGGUAAUACGUAGGUGGCAAGCGUUAUCCGGAUUUAUUGGGCGUAAAGAGAGUGCAGGCGGUUUUCUAAGUCUGAUGUGAAAGCCUUCGGCUUAACCGGAGAAGUGCAUCGGAAACUGGAUAACUUGAGUGCAGAAGAGGGUAGUGGAACUCCAUGUGUAGCGGUGGAAUGCGUAGAUAUAUGGAAGAACACCAGUGGCGAAGGCGGCUACCUGGUCUGCAACUGACGCUGAGACUCGAAAGCAUGGGUAGCGAACAGGAUUAGAUACCCUGGUAG